UACAUGCAAGUCGAACGAACUCUGGUAUUGAUUGGUGCUUGCAUCAUGAUUUACAUUUGAGUGAGUGGCGAACUGGUGAGUAACACGUGGGAAACCUGCCCAGAAGCGGGGGAUAACACCUGGAAACAGAUGCUAAUACCGCAUAACAACUUGGACCGCAUGGUCCGAGUUUGAAAGAUGGCUUCGGCUAUCACUUUUGGAUGGUCCCGCGGCGUAUUAGCUAGAUGGUGAGGUAACGGCUCACCAUGGCAAUGAUACGUAGCCGACCUGAGAGGGUAAUCGGCCACAUUGGGACUGAGACACGGCCCAAACUCCUACGGGAGGCAGCAGUAGGGAAUCUUCCACAAUGGACGAAAGUCUGAUGGAGCAACGCCGCGUGAGUGAAGAAGGGUUUCGGCUCGUAAAACUCUGUUGUUAAAGAAGAACAUAUCUGAGAGUAACUGUUCAGGUAUUGACGGUAUUUAACCAGAAAGCCACGGCUAACUACGUGCCAGCAGCCGCGGUAAUACGUAGGUGGCAAGCGUUGUCCGGAUUUAUUGGGCGUAAAGCGAGCGCAGGCGGUUUUUUAAGUCUGAUGUGAAAGCCUUCGGCUCAACCGAAGAAGUGCAUCGGAAACUGGGAAACUUGAGUGCAGAAGAGGACAGUGGAACUCCAUGUGUAGCGGUGAAAUGCGUAGAUAUAUGGAAGAACACCAGUGGCGAAGGCGGCUGUCUGGUCUGUAACUGACGCUGAGGCUCGAAAGUAUGGGUAGCAAACAGGAUUAGAUACCCUGGUAGUCCAUACCGUAAACGAUGAAUGCUAAGUGUUGGAGGGUUUCCGCCCUUCAGUGCUGCAGCUAACGCAUUAAGCAUUCCGCCUGGGGAGUACGGCCGCAAGGCUGAAACUCAAAGGAAUUGACGGGGGCCCGCACAAGCGGUGGAGCAUGUGGUUUAAUUCGAAGCUACGCGAAGAACCUUACCAGGUCUUGACAUACUAUGCAAAUCUAAGAGAUUAGACGUUCCCUUCGGGGACAUGGAUACAGGUGGUGCAUGGUUGUCGUCAGCUCGUGUCGUGAGAUGUUGGGUUAAGUCCCGCAACGAGCGCAACCCUUAUUAUCAGUUGCCAGCAUUAAGUUGGGCACUCUGGUGAGACUGCCGGUGACAAACCGGAGGAAGGUGGGGAUGACGUCAAAUCAUCAUGCCCCUUAUGACCUGGGCUACACACGUGCUACAAUGGAUGGUACAACGAGUUGCGAACUCGCGAGAGUAAGCUAAUCUCUUAAAGCCAUUCUCAGUUCGGAUUGUAGGCUGCAACUCGCCUACAUGAAGUCGGAAUCGCUAGUAAUCGCGGAUCAGCAUGCCGCGGUGAAUACGUUCCCGGGCCUUGUACACACCGCCCGUCACACCAUGAGAGUUUGUAACACCCAAAGUCGGUGGGGUAACCUUUUAGGAACCAGCCGCCU
This 1441-nucleotide ribosomal RNA is filed under the name Lactiplantibacillus plantarum. RNAcentral's name for it is "bacterial SSU rRNA". It matches the Rfam family "Bacterial small subunit ribosomal RNA". Lineage: Bacteria; Bacillati; Bacillota; Bacilli; Lactobacillales; Lactobacillaceae. The record is from RNAcentral.